RNAcentral lists this ribosomal RNA (424 nucleotides) under Masurius nr. violaceipennis JJG116. Its description in RNAcentral is "eukaryotic LSU rRNA". The record is from RNAcentral. Lineage: Eukaryota; Metazoa; Arthropoda; Insecta; Coleoptera; Chrysomelidae.
GUCAGGKUAACCUGAGAACCCGAAAGGUCGAAAGAGGAAAUUUCAUUCGCGUUUCGAUCGUCGAAGUUGGACGUUUGUACGACGAGUGGUGUUUCGGCAUCGUUUGCGUCUUAUGUUCAUCGAAUCGAUGUCGAACGCGUGCACUUUUCCUCUAGUAGGACGUCGCGAUCCGUUGGGUGUCUGUCUAAGACUCGGGGUGGAGCCCGCGUGAUAUUUUUGAUUACGCGGACCCUCGAUGUUCCGACAGACUCGCUCGACGGUAUAAUAAUGGCGCGGGGCCGCUACUUUAGUUAGCGUUCGGCCCGUAGCAAGCACGUUUCGUGUUAGACGGUGAUCGGACCUAGUGCCGAUUCUGUCCCGGAACGACUGUUGGUUGCGGUGUUCUCGAACAGACCUCGUUUUGAAACGCCGAUCAWCGACGCUA